This 429-nucleotide ribosomal RNA is filed under the name Gemmatimonadota bacterium. RNAcentral's name for it is "Gemmatimonadetes bacterium partial 16S ribosomal RNA". It matches the Rfam family "Bacterial small subunit ribosomal RNA", at positions 355 to 776 of the family's 1533-position model. Lineage: Bacteria; Pseudomonadati; Gemmatimonadota. The record is from RNAcentral.
UAGGGAAUCUUCGGCAAUGGACGAAAGUCUGACCGAGCAACGCCGCGUGAGUGAAGAAGGUUUUCGGAUCGUAAAACUCUGUUGUUAGAGAAGAACAAGGACGUUAGUAACUGAACGUCCCCUGACGGUAUCUAACCAGAAAGCCACGGCUAACUACGUGCCAGCAGCCGCGGUAAUACGUAGGUGGCAAGCGUUGUCCGGAUUUAGUGGGCGUAAAGCGAGCGCAGGCGGUUUCUUCAGUCUGAUGUGAAAGCCCCCGGCUAAACCGGGGAGGGUCAUUGGAAACUGGGAGACUUGAGUGCAGAAGAGGAGAGUGGAAUUCCAUGUGUAGCGGUGAAAUGCGUAGAUAUAUGGAGGAACACCAGUGGCGAAGGCGGCUCUCUGGUCUGUAACUGACGCUGAGGCUAGAAAGCGUGGGGAGCAAACAGG